GGACGAACGCUGGCGGCGUGCCUAACACAUGCAAGUCGAGCGAGGAGAUCCUUCGGGAUGAUCCUAGCGGCGGACGGGUGAGUAACACGUGGGCAACCUGCCUCAUAGAGAGGAAUAGCCUUCCGAAAGGGAGAUUAAUACCUCAUAACAUUGCAGUUUCGCAUGGAACAGCAAUUAAAGGAGUAAUCCGCUAUGAGAUGGGCCCGCGGCGCAUUAGCUAGUUGGUGAGGUAACGGCUCACCAAGGCGACGAUGCGUAGCCGACCUGAGAGGGUGAUCGGCCACAUUGGGACUGAGACACGGCCCAGACUCCUACGGGAGGCAGCAGUGGGGAAUAUUGCACAAUGGGGGAAACCCUGAUGCAGCAACGCCGCGUGAGUGAUGACGGCCUUCGGGUUGUAAAGCUCUGUCUUCAGGGACGAUAAUGACGGUACCUGAGGAGGAAGCCACGGCUAACUACGUGCCAGCCGCCGC
RNAcentral lists this ribosomal RNA (473 nucleotides) under uncultured bacterium. RNAcentral describes it as "bacterial SSU rRNA". It matches the Rfam family "Bacterial small subunit ribosomal RNA", at positions 27 to 518 of the family's 1533-position model. The record is from RNAcentral.